GAAGGUGGCCUGUGAGGGUUGCUGGAGGUAUCAGAAGUGCGAAUGCUGACAUAAGUAACGAUAAAGCGGGUGAAAAGCCCGCUCGCCGGAAGACCAAGGGUUCCUGUCCAACGUUAAUCGGGGCAGGGUGAGUCGACCCCUAAGGCGAGGCCGAAAGGCGUAGUCGAUGGGAAACGGGUUAAUAUUCCCGUACUUGGUGUUACUGCGAAGGGGGGACGGAGAAGGCUAUGUUGGCCGGGCGACGGUUGUCCCGGUUUAAGCGUGUAGGUGUGUGUUCCAGGUAAAUCCGGUUCACUUUAACACUGAGGCGUGAUGACGAGGCACUACGGUGCUGAAGCAACAAAUGCCCUGCUUCCAGGAAAAGCCUCUAAGCAUCAGGUAACAUCAAAUCGUACCCCAAACCGACACAGGUGGUCAGGUAGAGAAUACCAAGGCGCUUGAGAGAACUCGGGUGAAGGAACUAGGCAAAAUGGUGCCGUAACUUCGGGAGAAGGCACGCUGACACGUAGGUGAAGUGAUUUACUCACGGAGCUGAAGUCAGUCGAAG
This 547-nucleotide ribosomal RNA is filed under the name Salmonella enterica subsp. enterica serovar Kentucky. RNAcentral's name for it is "bacterial LSU rRNA". It matches the Rfam family "Bacterial large subunit ribosomal RNA", at positions 1252 to 1782 of the family's 2925-position model. The record is from RNAcentral. Lineage: Bacteria; Pseudomonadati; Pseudomonadota; Gammaproteobacteria; Enterobacterales; Enterobacteriaceae.